RNAcentral lists this long non-coding RNA (2305 nucleotides) under Homo sapiens (human). Its description in RNAcentral is "androgen receptor regulated long noncoding RNA 1". Lineage: Eukaryota; Metazoa; Chordata; Mammalia; Primates; Hominidae. The record is from RNAcentral.
GGGUCUUUCCUGAGCCGUUUCUCGUGAGAGUGAAUAGUUCUCACGAGAUCUGAUGGUUUUAAAAACGGGAGUUGCGUUGUACAAGCUUUCUUUUUGUUUGCUGCCUUCCGUAGAAGAUGUGGCUUGCUCAUGCUUGACUUCUGCCAUGGUUGUGAGGCCUCCCCAGCCAUGUGGAACUGUUUUCAGGUGCUGGUUCCAUGGCUCUUCCUGAGCCGAAAAUAAGGAAACUCCAUAGACCUUGUCCACUGGAACUCGUUCCCAUCUACCCUCCACUCUAUCCAGGGUGAUGGAUCUCUGCAGUAAGUGGAAGAGUUCUUCAUGGCCCCCAAGGUUAUAUCCAUCUAGAACUUCAGCACGUAAUUUCAUCUGGAAAUAGUGCCUUUGCGGAUAUAAGUUAGGUAAAACUGAAGAUGAGAUCAUACUGGAUUAGGAUGGGAUCUAAAUCCAAUGAAAAUGUCUUCAUAAAAAACAGGAAAGAACCCAUAGAAACACAAGGAAGAAGGUCAUGUGAAGAUGGAGGCAGAGAUUGGAGGGAUGCAGCCACCGGCCCAGGAAUGCCAGCAGCCACCCAGAAGCUGGAAGGAAAUGAGGGAUUCUCUCCUAGAACCUUUAGAGAGAACAUGGUCCUGUGAACAGCUUGAUUUUGGACUUGCCCAUAGCUUGUAUACUCUUACUUUGGAUACAAUUUUAUCCAAACUUGGCUAAACAGUUUCUCAGCCUAUGGAAAAUUUAAAAUGGAGAAGAUUCAACUCGAUUCUUACAGAUUCAAAGCAAGAAAAUGAUGGGAACAUAGGAGGAGACCAAGAAAGCCUAUAAAAAGCAAAAAUAUGAAGUGAACAUUGUGGUAGCUUUAAGAUGUUUAGUGUAGCUGCAGGCACCCUAUACACAUGAAAACCCCCAAGGGGAAUCCCCAUAUCACAGUGUAGUGUGAUAUUUGACAUUCGUGAUCAUCUAGAGAUGUACAGAAAAGGUGAAUCUGUGUUCUGUAUAUUCUGCCUAAGGCAAAGAAAUGUUUAGCUCUCUUUAAAAUAGUUCCAUAAUUUUUUCUAAAAAGCUUUGCUUGAAAACUGUAAGCUUCCCAUAUCUGGAGCAUUUCACUUUAAAUAUUUGGAUAAAUAUGUUAUCUUCUUACUUGGACAUUUCAUGUGUUUAGGGAUUGUCUUCUAAAUUCUUCCUAAUUCAUAUAGCUGCUAACACUUCCCGCAGAGCUAAACCAUUACAGAUAUGAAAUAAAGACCUAUUGAUUUGACUUACUUUUACUUGUAAAACCUUCUGAGUGUUAUAACCUCAUUUAAUCUUUCAGCAUUUACAGUUUCAAGAGUUUGUGUCACAAUUAGAAGAAUUCAGCUGCACCUCCAAGUGACAGCAGUUGCUCUGGUUGGUGGGUGAUCUCAGGAGGCUUGAGAAUUGCUUUGUCUGUGAGGGAAGUAAGACAUUUUCAGAGCCCCACUUUAGAAGGUGUGAACUGGCUAGAUAAUGAACCCCAGGGCUAACGCUGCUAUAGCAGUGGGAAGGAGGUGAUGGGUUUUCAGUUUGGACCUCAAACAUCAAUACCCUCCUGGUACGGGGAGGAACAGAGUCCCUCCUUUACUUCUCCAUUAGAAAGAAUGAGAUGGCAAGACAAUGAAACAGGCAAAGUGAACAGAGAUGCAAGACAAAAUUCAGGUGAGAGAGCCAGAGCAUCACUCAGCCAUUCCUGACAUGUAAAACAGGCAACUAGAAAUUUGCAGAAAGGAAGCGAAGUCUCCAUAAAGAUGUUUUUAAAGUGAGCUUGAAGUAUUUGGAGACAAUUCAGUGUUACAUAAAAUCUGCAAAUCUCUGGAUAAAGAAGCAGAGAUCCCAGCAUGGGACAAAUGGAGCCUCAAAAGUGGGAAGAAGACAGAGAAGACCAGGGCAGAAUGCAUCUCUUCCUUUCUCUUGGCUUUCCUGGAUAAGGACUGCAUCAUUCCUGUGGAAGGACAGGCCAUCAGCUCCGAAACACUGUAUGUAUUUUCCAGUAUAUACUGCUAGCUGUGUGAUGUUGGGAAAAUUUGUUACCCUGUCUAACCCCCACUUCCCUCAUCUGUAAAAUGGAAAUAAUGAUAGUACCUACCUAUCUCAUAGGUGGCAACUACAAGGGGCAGCACACUCAGGGAAUUAAGGAAGUUUCAGUGAACAUCAACUUUAUGAACACAGUGUUCAUAAAGGCAGGUCAGUGCAGUGGUUUGGGAGCCAGGAGAAGCACGUGGGCCGGAGUGUGCCUGCAGGAGACAAGGUCAGAGAUGUUGCUAAUAAUGGAGAAUAAAGGAUGCAUUCUCAUUACUGA